GUGGGGAAUAUUGGACAAUGGGCGCAAGCCUGAUCCAGCCAUGCCGCGUGAGUGAUGAAGGCCCUAGGGUUGUAAAGCUCUUUCACCGGUGAAGAUAAUGACGGUAACCGGAGAAGAAGCCCCGGCUAACUUCGUGCCAGCAGCCGCGGUAAUACGAAGGGGGCUAGCGUUGUUCGGAAUUACUGGGCGUAAAGCGCACGUAGGCGGACAUUUAAGUCAGGGGUGAAAUCCCGGGGCUCAACCCCGGAACUGCCUUUGAUACUGGGUGUCUGGAGUAUGGAAGAGGUAAGUGGAAUUCCGAGUGUAGAGGUGAAAUUCGUAGAUAUUCGGAGGAACACCAGUGGCGAAGGCGGCUUACUGGUCCAUUACUGACGCUGAGGUGCGAAAGCGUGGGGAGCAAACAGGAUUAGAAACCCUUGUAGCC
This 424-nucleotide ribosomal RNA is filed under the name uncultured bacterium. RNAcentral describes it as "partial 16S ribosomal RNA". It matches the Rfam family "Bacterial small subunit ribosomal RNA", at positions 354 to 795 of the family's 1533-position model. The record is from RNAcentral.